Molecule: long non-coding RNA, 2403 nt
Organism: Oxyura jamaicensis (ruddy duck)
Lineage: Eukaryota; Metazoa; Chordata; Aves; Anseriformes; Anatidae
Exons: 5
Source: RefSeq, a predicted model, not a curated record
AAUGUAAAUGUGUAUAUAUAUAUAUAUAUAUUUUUUUUUUUAUUUUUUUUUUUGAGAAAUGGGAUAGUUCAUUAAGUAAGGUAAUUCCUCCCCUCUGUUCCUGAGUCCUUCUUGGUUUAAUCUAUUUUGGUUUAAUCUCUUUUGCUUUUUGAUGUUGAACAGAUACUGCUGGCAUUAAUCUUUGGGACCAUUAUGUCAUGACAAAGCCUACUGCUGCUCUCAGACUACUCCACCAAUGAAGUAUAUGUUCCCAUUUAGGACACUAUUAGCAUCGACUGGAGCACGCUGACUGGUGCAAACGUUGCCCUUUGAUUUGGUUGCUCACCUUCUGCGCACAUACCUUGUCGGAUGAUAUUUAUUGAGUAUUUAAAUUACUCCUACCUGGUUUGUGUAGUGUUUGCUUUAAUAUAAGCUGAAAUCUACAAAACAUGGAGAAAAGGAAGGAUGGAAGAGAGGUGAUUAUCUAGCAGCCGUAGCUGCUUCUUGCUGUCACACUACUGAGAUUUUCAGGUGUAGCCUCAUGAGAACAAUUAGAGAACACCCGCGUGGCAGCAAGGAGGAAACAGCCGCCUCAGUGGCUCACUUGUACAGCUGCAAAUAGCAGGCCCUUUUGGCUUACUAAGGCACAAAGGUGGCUAAGACAUGAAGAGACCUACUGCAUCGUGCAACAGAAAGGAUUGAGUGUUCUUAAAACCAUCACCCCAGGAGGUAUUUCAAUAUAUUUUCAAGCUUAAUGCUUCAGAUAGCUUUCCUAUCCAGGCCUUUUCCAAUGCAAAGGCAAGAAAACACACUUCCAAUCGUGUGUAACAUUUUAAAGUAGUACUAAUAUUAAAGACUUUUUGCUUUUCAGCAGAGUAGGGUUAAUAGAUUUUACUUGUCUGAACUGUAGCAAGUACGUGAUGUUCUUAGCGCUAACACAAGCCCGUUUGAUGAAUCUAGGUCUGUGUCUCAAUCUUCUUCACUCUGAAGGAUGUUAUUUGAGCUUCUGUCAGAAGGAAACCACAUCUAAAGUCUUCUUCUGUGCAUUAGUUUUCCUUCCUUUUUUUCCCAACAAAGUUCAGCUUCUAAGAAGGCGUAGGUGUUGACAGCCUGGGAGAAAUUACUGGCGUCAGUGAUGCUUUGUUACAGGCUGGAUGCACAAACACAGACCCAGACCAUCAGGACUGCAUCAAGGCUUCUCUGCCACUUACUGCAAGAGAAGCCUAGGCAGGGGAUGGGUGCCAAAACACCACUGAGGAUUUUUCAGCUGCGGUGCCUGCAGAAGCUGUUUGGAAUGGAAAAGUCUCCUCGAGUGUUUGCUGCUGUGGGUGGUAGUGCUGUGUGUGCCCCGUCCUGGCUCCCAGGUGUUGAGGAUCUGGGGGCAUUCAGCAUCAGCUGUGCAUCCAGAAGAUUGCUGGCUUGUUCCCAGAGAUCUGAAAUCCCGUUCUUCUCUCUGUUUUAAUGAAGCUCAGAGUGACCAGUGUUGCACCCAUACAGGGAUGCAAAUUCCAUUCUUCUUUUUAAGGUGAACUUUCAUAUAGAGCAUCCAUAUACGAAUUUUGGUGCCCGAUCACUAAAGCAGCAUUGUGGCUCCGCUUAAGAACGUCUGCUAGAAGGCACACUGUGCCUGCAGGUGACUGUAAUGACUGACACCGAUUUCAACAAGAUAUUACGAGCCUUUUCUUCCCAGACAGUAGAAGGAAUAUUUCAUUGACAGGUGUUUUAAAGUAUUUUCUGUACACUGCCUUGGCUCAAUUUGUCUAUAAUGAAUGAAAUGAAUUUUCGGGAAAAGGGGAUUAUUAAUGGUUCUAAUUUAUUAAGCAUGCAGUGAUCUUUAAUUUUCUCCUCCUAAAAAGAAAGGUUCACUUAGAGACCUUGAGAUUUUUAAUUGUGUGUUGGAAUAUAUUUUUUUUUUAACAACAAAGCAUUAAUUCUUGUUAUAGACCCAUUUCUCUUUUUACAUGAAAUGAUUUGACCAUAACUGAUACUGACGGGAAAUAUAAACAGUCUAAACAAAGUCUGGCAACAAACAGAAUCAUAAUAAGUACUGAUUUAUAGCCCAUGAAAACACUCUAAAGUCAGGGAGGUUGCGUGGGAUAUAGAUGAUGGCACAUUUUGUUUUUUGUGCUUGUAUCUUCAGCUGUUUGCUGUCUUGAGAAUGUAAAACACAUUCCUUGUUGCUUUGACUGGGCACUCUUUGAAUCUGCAUUGUAUGUCGACAAAAGGAAUUGAAAAGCUGUGGAUUUAUUUAUUAUGAUUGAAGAAAUCUCUUCAAAGGACUAUUGAUUUUUUUUUUUUUUCCCACAUCUAUAAAGUAUAUUUGUUUUCACUGUUAUUUUCACUCUUAUAAAGAAAACUGUUUACACAGAUUUAGUUUGGAUCACAGUAUCCAUGAACAGAAAAUAAAGGUUAAAUUUCUGAAAG